This 1347-nucleotide ribosomal RNA is filed under the name Triticum aestivum (bread wheat). RNAcentral describes it as "partial small subunit ribosomal RNA". The record is from RNAcentral. Lineage: Eukaryota; Viridiplantae; Streptophyta; Magnoliopsida; Poales; Poaceae.
AUGGCUGGGGGUAGCACAGAUGCAGCAACCAAGGAGAUGGAGGCAUUGCAUGUUGGGCAAACCAAGGAAACAGAUGAGAUUCUGAAAAAGGCGUCAGAUAGCAAUGGCGGGGCUCCCGAAGCUCAGUCCCCACCACCACCAGCAGAUGAUGAUGACGCACAAGUGGAUGGUCCAUCUGAAGGUGGAGCAGGAGCUUCAGCGGCUGCGAAGAAGAAAAAGAAGAAAAGCAAGGCCAAAAAGAAGAAGGACCCCCUUCAGCAGACAGAUCCUCCAUCAAUCCCUGUGGAUGAGCUUUUCCCUUCAGGAGAUUUUCCUGAGGGAGAAAUCCAGGAAUACAAGGAUGAUAAUUUAUGGAGAACAACUAGUGAAGAAAAGAGGGAACAGGAACGACUACAAAAACCAAUGUACAAUUCUGUUCGCCGAGCUGCAGAAGUCCAUCGACAGGUACGAAAGUACAUGAGGAGCAUUAUAAAGCCUGGAAUGCUAAUGAUGGAACUAUGCGAGACUUUGGAAAACAUGGUUCGGAAACUUAUCAAGGAGAAUGGACUGCAAGCUGGCAUUGCCUUUCCAACAGGAUGCUCGUUGAAUUGGGUCGCAGCUCACUGGACUCCAAAUUCUGGUGAUAAAACUGUACUACAAUAUGAUGAUGUGAUGAAGCUGGAUUUUGGGACACAUAUCGAUGGGCACAUAGUUGAUUGUGCAUUUACCGUCGCAUUUAAUCCCAUGUUUGAUCCGUUGCUGCAAGCAACGAGAGAUGCCACAAAUACUGGAAUCAAGGAAGCUGGAAUAGAUGCACGGCUUUGUGAUGUCGGUGCUGCAAUCCAAGAAGUCAUGGAGUCAUAUGAGGUUGAAAUUAAUGGGAAAGUUUUCCAAGUAAAAAGUGUGCGAAACCUCAAUGGACACAGCAUUGGACCAUACCAAAUCCAUGCUGGUAAAUCAGUCCCAAUUGUAAAAGGCGGAGAGCAAACUAAAAUGGAGGAGGGUGAAUUUUAUGCCAUUGAAACUUUUGGGUCUACAGGAAAGGGAUUUGUGAGGGAGGACUUGGAAUGCAGUCAUUACAUGAAGAACUUUGAUGUUGGGCAUGUACCGUUGAGGGUAGCAAAAGCCAAGCAGCUACUGGGGACAAUCAACAACAACUUUGGAACACUUGCAUUUUGCCGCCGGUACUUGGACCGCAUCGGCGAGACCAAGUAUCUCAUGGCACUGAAAAAUCUAUGUGAUGUUGGCAUUGUUCAGCCGUACCCGCCAUUGUGCGAUGUGAGGGGAAGCUAUGUGUCCCAGUUUGAGCACACCAUUUUGCUCCGGCCAACCUGUAAAGAAGUCAUAUCCAGAGGCGACGACUACUGA